RNAcentral lists this ribosomal RNA (500 nucleotides) under uncultured bacterium. RNAcentral describes it as "partial 16S ribosomal RNA". It matches the Rfam family "Bacterial small subunit ribosomal RNA", at positions 30 to 523 of the family's 1533-position model. The record is from RNAcentral.
AUUGAACGCUGGCGGCAGGCCUAACACAUGCAAGUCGAGCGGAUGAAGGGAGCUUGCUCCCUGAUUCAGCGGCGGACGGGUGAGUAAUGCCUAGGAAUCUGCCUGGUAGUGGGGGACAACGUUUCGAAAGGAACGCUAAUACCGCAUACGUCCUACGGGAGAAAGCAGGGGACCUUCGGGCCUUGCGCUAUCAGAUGAGCCUAGGUCGGAUUAGCUAGUUGGUGAGGUAAUGGCUCACCAAGGCGACGAUCCGUAACUGGUCUGAGAGGAUGAUCGGUCACACUGGAACUGAGACACUGUCCAGACUCCUACGGGAGGCAGCAGUGGGGAAUAUUGGACAAUGGGCGAAAGCCUGAUCCAGCCAUGCCGCGUGUGUGAAGAAGGUCUUCGGAUUGUAAAGCACUUUAAGUUGGGAGGAAGGGUUGCUGAUUAAUACUCUGCAAUUUUGACGUUACCGACAGAAUAAGCACCGGCUAACUCUGUGCCAGCAGCCGCCGUAA